Electrophorus electricus (electric eel) is the source of this 3270-nucleotide long non-coding RNA. NCBI's taxonomy places the organism in Eukaryota, Metazoa, Chordata, Actinopteri, Gymnotiformes, Gymnotidae. The record is from Ensembl.
CUGUUUUUAUUCUAUAUUUUUGCUAUUUAAUGCCUUUUAAAACUCCACUUUUUUAAUCUUUCAGUGCCUGUAUUGACCUCUUCAGUAAAGGUGAAUCUUCAUGACGAUGCUACUCUCCCCUGCACUCAGACGUGUUCUGGUCUGGUCACAUGGACUGUGUUCCAUAAACGACGUGACAUUCUGGCUCAGUGUGACCAGACAUCCUGCCAAUCAAAGGAGGGAUUUCACAUGUCCCAUGAUCAGUACCUGAAGGGAGAUUUCUCCCUCACCAUCACUGAUGCUGAUUACACUAAGAGGACCUGGUACACCUGUGAGUGUGAUGGUGUAGACAUCUGUGAUGUGAGACUACAGAUAGAGGGUAAGGGUUUGUUCUCUCAGUCUUUGUUAAUGAACCCCUAAUGAUUUAGGUUUAAUAGUGUGUAUCAGAUUUGAACCCGUUUGAAAUUCCUGAUGGUUUUUGUUUUCAGCAUUGAGUUCUUCAGUUUGGAUCAAGUCCAAUGAAAAUCUGGUGCUGGAUUUGCCCAUAUCAGAGUCAGUGCAGAAGUCCAGCCGUGUCCAGAUCAGAGCUCCACAGUGAUGGUGUUGGCGGUGCUCCUGGCUCUGAUGGGGGCGGUGCUUGCGGCAGCAUGGCUGUUGAUUGUGCAGCAGAAGAAAAAAAUUCAGGAGCUCCAGAAUGGAAGUACAGUGAAUGGAGACCGUAACCAUGACAACAGAGCAGUUAAUAUGAAUGGACUAAACCACUCAGAUGAAGAGCAGAGGUGAUCUCCCAAUAAUAGCCAUGAGGAAGUCUGAGAGAUGAUAAAUGAUUUGACUCUCUUAUAUACACACACACACACUAAUGUGCCCACAGUGCCUUUCUGUGUACCAUUCAGGGGUCAGAGAUCAGUGUAUAUUCGAUCAUACCUGAUCAGAGUUUUAUCACAUUAGCACUCCUGAACUCACCUAGUAGAGCAGGUAGAGUAACAUACAUUUGCAGAAUCAUGGUCUGAUCUUCAGAGAGCACACAUUAUGUCAUACUGAUGAAUGUGUAUCAGUCACUAUAAGACCAUCUGCCCAGUACUGUAAAUGUAAUGGAAAGAUGUUUAUGUAAAAAUGUAAUAUAAAGAUGUUUAUGUAAAUAUUACUAUGAGAUCCUGUGAUGUAAUUUAAUGUACAUGUAAAUACUUUACACAAAAGUCAAGGAAAAACAGGCAGUUUUGCUUGUAGCAUCUUUACAUUUUCAUUGCCAAUUAUCAACAUUUUUUUUUAAAGUUUCAAGGGCCAGUAUCAAAAUAAAAUGGUUCCAAUGGGAGGAUGGAGGGAUUAAUGAAAGGAGAGGAAAAAAGGAGAAGGAGAACACAGACGAGUGCUGUUGGUAUAAUAUGCAGUUUGGAGCUUGAGGUCCGUUGAUGGGUCUCUUUGCCAAGCCUGGUGGCUGUAGCCUUCAAGUUCAGGGAGAUAAAAUGUCAUCAGUACAAAAUGCAAUUUUCUGCCAGGAGUUGCUUAAUGUUUAUCUUUAAAAAUUACAAAUUUUAUUUUUUGUUCUUCUGUCAGCACUACUCUGAGCCAAAGAUGUUUUAAACUUUGCUCAUGAAUAUUAUGCUCUGUGCCUCUAAAGCCAACCUCUUUCCUUGCAGUGCCUUAUGGGUAAAAACCGGCCAUGUGUUUUAUUUAUUUAUUUUUUAAUCUCAGACAUAUAAUGUAAUGCUGUUUAUUUUUAAAUACAAGAAGAAAUCAUAUUUUAUGGCACUUCUUUUGUUUAAAUGUAUUACUGUAUUUUGAUACCUGAUGCAUUGUUACCAAAAUAUAAUCUUUUAAAUACAUCUAUGGUCUGUUUAUCUCUAAUUUUCCCCUUUGAAACUGCUGAUUACAGUCUGAUUUGAUAUUUUUGAUAUUUUGAAUAAGUAAAUGUUAACAUAGCAUUACUGCUAAUAAGUUUGAACACAAACUUAUUGCAACAACAGACUCAAAAUGAAUACUUUGAUUAAUGAUGAUUGAGGCAUUUGAAGUGUUUGAUCAUUUGGGGGUGUCUAUGGAAAUGAUACCUGUAAAAUAGAUGUUAUUUCUUAACAAAUAUUAGCAAGUAAAAACAACACACUAAAAGAAAAAAACAUUUUGAUCAGUGGAUUUAUGUUAAAGGACCAACUAGAUAAAAGUGUAAUUUUGCUCCAAGUAUGGAUUUAAAACUCAAUGAUACUAUUUCAGAUGCAAAGAACUUAAUCACAUUCAUACUAGAAUAAUUGGAUACAUUUUUUCUAAGAUGACUUGGAAGACGAGGAUCAGGAGUUGCGUCUGUCCGACUGGGAGGCUGAUUUAAGGGGAUCAAUGAACUGGAGAGACUUGGUGUUGUGUAUUUUUUCAUUUAUGUAUUUCUUUUCAUAUCUUAUUUUCUUAGGUAAGUAAUAUAUGUAUGAAACUCUGGUAAAGAGUGUCUGCCAAACAUUAUAAAUGUAAUCUGUUUAAGUGUGAAUGUAAUGUUUAGCAUUGCUUCAUAAAGUUGGUAUUGCAAAUAAUUCUUGAAUCACUCUCAAUUAGUUACAUAGCUGCUUGAUGUGGAGUGUAAAGGAACCUUUGUCUUGAGAGGUCCUAAGCCAGCUGAUUCUUGCUGUAGUCAAUGACUAAUUUAUAUGUCUUCUACUGUGUCAGACUGUAACACCGCCUCACCAGACCCGCACUCCUUCAGAUACUGGUACAGUGCUCAUGCAGCCUACUUCCAGGUACUCUGAAAAGUCCGUCCCUCAUGAUACUAGCAUAGAAUAUCAGUAAACUGUGUGCGCAAUGGUUGGGGGCCAAUCUUCUCUGUGGCCAGUCCAGGGCCCCGGGGCCCCUCCGGAGCCGCUUCGGCCUCCCCUUGGCCUUUCUGGAGGCGCACGAGCCCAUCCGCGCCAUCCCCGGCCUUCCCGGACGCACGGUUCACCCAGAACCCAGAAUCUGCCCAAAUUCCUGGCCUGGUGACCUCUGUGACCUCUCUGGCAAGGAGGCGGGACUAUGGCAAUAGAGGGUCAGCUGUUGUUUCGCAUAUUAAGUAGCCAUGUGCAGCUGAGCAUGCAUGUCAAGUAGCUUUGUUUCAUGCUGUUAGACUGGCUUUUCAAUAUCUUCUAUCUGUGUGUAAUUAUAUUCACUUAAGAUUAAAAAUUUGAAGAUUAAGAUUAAAAAUCCAGACAUUUCACAGAAUGUCAGUUUCAUUGGCUUCCGCAUUUCUAAUGGUUUUCCGCAUUUUAAAAAAAAUAUCUCCCACUAAUAUAUAUAGUUAAAAUUGCAUGUUCAUUUAAAAAUAAGAUUAAAGCUGAC